AUUGAAUGCUGGCGGCAGGCUUAACACAUGCAAGUCGAGCGGUAACAGAGAGAAGCUUGCUACUCUGCUGACGGGCGGCGGACGGGUGAGUAAUGACUAGGAAUCUGCCUAGUAGUGGGGGAUAACUUGCCGAAAGGUAAGCGAAUACCGCAUACGUCCUACGGGAGAAAGGAGGGGACCUUCGGGCCUUUCGCUAUUAGAUUAGCUUAGGUCGGAUUAGUUAGUUGGUGGGGUAAUGGCUCACCAAGACCGCGAUCCGUAACUGGUCUGAGAGGAUGAUCAGUCACACUCGACCUGAGACACGGGCCAGACUCGUACGGGAGGGAGCCGUGAGAAAUAUUGGACACUGGGCGGAGCCCUCAUCCACCCAUGCCGCGUGUGUGAAGAAGGUUUUGGGAUUGUAGAGCACUUUAAGUUGUGAGGCAAAGCAGUUAACUUAUAUUUGAGUGUUUUGCCGUUGACGACAGAAUAAUCACCGGCUGACGCCGUGCCAGCCGCCGCCGUAA
RNAcentral lists this ribosomal RNA (506 nucleotides) under uncultured bacterium. Its description in RNAcentral is "partial 16S ribosomal RNA". It matches the Rfam family "Bacterial small subunit ribosomal RNA", at positions 30 to 523 of the family's 1533-position model. The record is from RNAcentral.